This 254-nucleotide ribosomal RNA is filed under the name uncultured bacterium. Its description in RNAcentral is "partial 16S ribosomal RNA". It matches the Rfam family "Bacterial small subunit ribosomal RNA", at positions 524 to 776 of the family's 1533-position model. The record is from RNAcentral.
UACGUAGGGGGCAAGCGUUGUCCGGAAUCAUUGGGCGUAAAGAGCGUGUAGGCGGCCAGAAAAGUCCGCUGUGAAAACUCGAGGCUCAACUUCGAGCUGUCGGUGGAAACUUUCUGGCUAGAGUCCGGAAGAGGAGAAUGGAAUUCCUGGUGUAGCGGUGAAAUGACGCAGAUAUCAGGAAGAACACCCGUGGCGAAGGCGGUUCUCUGGGACGGUACUGACGCUGAGACGCGAAAGCGUGGGGAGCGAACAGG